This 360-nucleotide ribosomal RNA is filed under the name uncultured Glomeromycotina. RNAcentral's name for it is "partial large subunit ribosomal RNA". Lineage: Eukaryota; Fungi; Glomeromycota. The record is from RNAcentral.
UUGAAAGGGAAACGAUUGAAGUNAGUCGUACAAGGGGGAAAUAANUUUGAGUGGGGGUUUUGGAGUUUUGAAGAGUUUNAAANNUUUGAGAUUNAAAAAUUUNGUUUUUUGGUGUACUCUCUCGUGGGUAGGUUAANUNAUUUUGAUNACAUAAAANGAUUGGAGGAAUGUAGUUNGANNUGUAUUGAAGUGUUAUAGCUUUGGUAAAUGUGAUGAUUAGGACCAGGAUUGAACGGAAACCUUUUUGGGUUAUCCGGCUGAUCUCUGAAAGUUACUUAGGUGUCGAAAGCUGGUUAUGGUNUUGAGGUAUUACGGUAAAAAGGUUAGAACGUGAUUACAUUCGUUAAGGAUGUUGACGUA